This 143-nucleotide small RNA is filed under the name Flavobacterium hercynium. Its description in RNAcentral is "Flavo-1 RNA". It matches the Rfam family "Flavo-1 RNA". Lineage: Bacteria; Pseudomonadati; Bacteroidota; Flavobacteriia; Flavobacteriales; Flavobacteriaceae. The record is from RNAcentral.
AAUUAGCCCGGAUUGAAAUAGAAAGCCUUUUGCGAUAAAAAACUUUAUUUUUUUGCAAGAACAGAGCGACCAACGGAAGCUCCUGUAAUUGCGUUAAAAAUAUGUUUUUUUGAGAAAAGCUUGAAUGAAAAGCCGGAUUAGCU